This 72-nucleotide transfer RNA is filed under the name Chromis acares (midget chromis). RNAcentral's name for it is "tRNA-Val". It matches the Rfam family "tRNA". Rfam says of the family: Transfer RNA (tRNA) molecules are approximately 80 nucleotides in length. Their secondary structure includes four short double-helical elements and three loops (D, anti-codon, and T loops). Lineage: Eukaryota; Metazoa; Chordata; Actinopteri; Pomacentridae. The record is from RNAcentral.
CAGGGUUUAGUUAAAUACGCAGAAUAUCUCCCUUACAACGAGAAGGUAUCCGUUCAAAUCGGAUCACCCUGA